AGUGAACGCUGGCGGUAGGCCUAACACAUGCAAGUCGAACGGCAGCACAGUAAGAGCUUGCUCUUACGGGUGGCGAGUGGCGGACGGGUGAGGAAUACAUCGGAAUCUACUUUUUCGUGGGGGAUAACGUAGGGAGACUUACGCUAAUACCGCAUACGACCUACGGGUGAAAGCAGGGGAUCUUCGGACCUUGCGCGAUUGAAUGAGCCGAUGUCGGAUUAGCUAGUUGGCGGGGUAAAGGCCCACCAAGGCGACGAUCCGUAGCUAGUCUGAGAGGAUGAUCAGCCAGACUGGAACUGAGACACGGUCCAGACUCCUACGGGAGGCAGCAGUGGGGAAUAUUGGACAAUGGGCGCAAGCCUGAUCCAGCCAUACCGCGUGGGUGAAGAAGGCCUUCGGGUUGUAAAGCCCUUUUGUUGGGAAAGAAAAGCAGCAGGUUAAUACCCCGCUGUUCUGACGGUACCCAAAGAAUAAGCACCGGCUAACUUCGUG
This 492-nucleotide ribosomal RNA is filed under the name uncultured bacterium. RNAcentral's name for it is "partial 16S ribosomal RNA". It matches the Rfam family "Bacterial small subunit ribosomal RNA", at positions 29 to 507 of the family's 1533-position model. The record is from RNAcentral.